Non-coding RNA from Pelobates cultripes (western spadefoot toad), 229 nucleotides. The record is from the annotation of a GenBank genome assembly. Lineage: Eukaryota; Metazoa; Chordata; Amphibia; Anura; Pelobatidae.
UUGAACACACUCUUGCCUGCAUAAUAAAUUUACUAUCGGAUGAGACAACUCAUCGGGUAGGUCAUGAGGGAACGAAAUAACCUAUUCUGUACUAUUAUGGAAGUGGUGGUGGACUUAGACGCAUUCCUUGAGGUUGGAGGUUUGCCUGCAAGACUACAUCGCCUGGUGACCCUGGCACGAUCGGAGGAGCCACCUUCCACAUCAAGAGUCGAGACAGGGUGGCAGUUUC